UCAUUACUUCAUAGAUAAUUACUCGUGGACCUAAUAUAUAACUUCACUUUAACAGUCAUUCAAGUGAUAAGAGAGACACGUUAGAAUCCUAUAUAUAGUUGCAUAGAUAUGUGUACCUUUAUAUAUCACUGUAACAAUAAUUCACCUGAUAAAAGAAAUAAGACACGUCAUAACCCCACAAAUAUUUACGUAGAAGUUUGUCCCAAUAUUAUAUCACUUACCAAUUAUUCAUGUAAUAAGAGAGAUAGACACGUCAAAACCCUUAGUUGCAUCGAAGUUUGUCUCAUAGUUGCUAUAUGAUAUAGGACUCUUUCAAAAGUUAAGUUAGGGUUCUCGUGCAUUAAAAUUUGUAAUUUAGAUGGUUAUUCGACCCAAUAUAAUUUAGAGAUACUUACGUAAGAACCCGUAACACAGUUACAUUUACAGAAGCUUAUCUCAUAGUUGCUAUUGGACUCUUUCAAAUGUUGAAUUAGGGUUUUCAUGCAUUACACUUUGUACUAUAACAUGGUGAGCAUGGUUGUUAAUUAAAUAUGUUUGUCCAACUUAUGAAGAAAAUUGGUGACUUUGAAGUUGAACCGAGAAAAU
This 585-nucleotide long non-coding RNA is filed under the name Malus domestica (apple). RNAcentral's name for it is "long non-coding RNA (MDOM_LNC015721)". Lineage: Eukaryota; Viridiplantae; Streptophyta; Magnoliopsida; Rosales; Rosaceae. The record is from RNAcentral.